UCCUUCAGGUUGAUCAGUACCGACAGUUAACAAUUCAGAACCUGCAGCUGACUCUCUACAACCAGAAACAGGAUGCUGGUCCACAGAGAGAAGAAAAUCCUCAGGAUAUGAUGGAGUAUUUGGGCUCUGAAUGUUACUGGCUGGGUUGCCUGAUGGCUUUGAACAACCCUCCUCUUCAGCCUGACUGGGAGAAUCACCCCCCAUCGAUGGACAAAUGGGACUUUUUCCCACAACGUAUCACAGCUGCUUCUGAAAAUUAGUGAAAUCAAAAUAAUCAAGAAUCAAUCUCACUUCAUACAUCUAUGCAAAUCCUUUAGUAUGACAGCUUGUCCUGUAUUUAACACAGUUUUAUUUUAUUUAAAAUUAAUAGGUACGUUUAUGCUCAUUGUUGUUAAAGUCUCACUAAAACUUAGUUUCCUUUAUUGUAACUUUUGUUAGCAAAGCUCUUCAGUUUUCAUGCCUUUUUUCAGGGAUUCGAACAUCAUAAAUAUAAAACUGUUAAGCUAU
Girardinichthys multiradiatus is the source of this 507-nucleotide long non-coding RNA. RefSeq lists it as uncharacterized. The record is from RefSeq and is a predicted model, not a curated record. The transcript is spliced from 2 exons. NCBI's taxonomy places the organism in Eukaryota, Metazoa, Chordata, Actinopteri, Cyprinodontiformes, Goodeidae.